AAGUCGUAACAAGGUUUCCGUAGGUGAACCUGCGGAAGGAUCAUUAAAGAGAGGGACGUUCGCGUUCCGGGGGCUUCGGCCCCCUCCUUUCACCCCGUGUUUCCUUACCCAUUCGUUGCUUUUGGCAGGCCUUUGGGGUGUGCUCAUGCCGCCCGGGGGGUGUCCCCGGGGGGCGAGCGUCUGCCGAAAGCCCAUUUACUUCUUGAUCAACCGUGUUGUCGAGUGAAAACAAAAAUCAAGCAAAAAA
This 247-nucleotide unclassified non-coding RNA is filed under the name plant metagenome. RNAcentral describes it as "partial contains small subunit ribosomal RNA and internal transcribed spacer 1". The stretch from base 1 to 46 matches the Rfam family "Eukaryotic small subunit ribosomal RNA", at positions 1786 to 1831 of the family's 1831-position model. The record is from RNAcentral.